This is a long non-coding RNA of Sapajus apella (tufted capuchin), 1120 nucleotides long. RefSeq lists it as uncharacterized. NCBI's taxonomy places the organism in Eukaryota, Metazoa, Chordata, Mammalia, Primates, Cebidae. The record is from RefSeq and is a predicted model, not a curated record. The transcript has 3 exons.
AAAAGUCCCCUUUUUUUUAACUACUGCUUCGGAGUGGGCAGUAGUUAGUGGAGCUGCAGGGAGUUUAGCUAGGGGCACCUGGGUGUCCUGGUAACAGAUAAGGGCUGCUGUGGGAAGGAAGAGAAGCAAACGUUUUCCAGAAAUAGAGGUCAAACGGAGAGCAUUUGGCUGUGGUCACAGACACUGCAGCGUCCACCCCACAUUCCUCCCCAGCCCCUAUCCCUUUACCCCUCCUUGCAGGGAACUUUCCCUGCCAGUAGCAGGCACCAACAUUUCCUGGCCAGGUACCAUCUGUUGCUGCUGGAACCAGCUUUGCCUGCAGCCCCUGGAGAAGCAGAAGCUCCCAGGAAUUUGUGCACUGCCCAGAGGGCAGAAUGACCAAGCUGAGUACAGAUGCGUUCAUCAUCCAGAGGAAAGGCGCUCAGCAUCUCCACGCCAUCCCCCUCCCUGCCGUGGGACGGAGGCAGCAACAUUUCCCUGACCUGGGCCGGCUGCAGCUAAGGCUGAGACAUCUGCAUAGGGCAGAAGGGGCCAGGUCAAGGCCUUCCUGGCAAGUGCCUCCCAGGGGACAAUGCCAGUCCCAGAAAGGGCAGCCCGUAAAGCCCUCAGGCCCAGUGGCCAUGCCUCACCCGACAGCUUGGGAGAUCCAGGCACAGCGGGAGAAGUGACUUGCCGAGGUCAUGCAGGGACACGGUCAAGCCACUGCCUGGCUUCCUGACACCCCUUCUGCCCUACCAUGCUGAUGCCCAGGUUUGCCCUGUGGGAAUUCCCUGGGCCCACCCAGCUGCCAUGCCCUGGCACCCGUAGAGUAAUCUGGAGGCGUGUGGGUGCCUGUCACCCAAGCAUCCUUCCUGGCAUAGCAGGAGGAGAGAGCCAAGCACCCAAGGCAGCCCCUGACCUCAGGGACCCCCAGUUCUUCCUGCACCCCUUGACCUUCCCACUUCUCUAGGGACUGCCUCAUGGUGGGUGGGUCUCUGUUCUGCCCUGUCCUACCGUGGGUCCUGCGGGGAGGCGGCUGGAACACGGGGCUGAGUGGCACCCAGCACACACCCAGGGCCCUGGGAGGGGGUUCGCCUCUUCCUUCUGCAGUGGGCUCUGCCUCCUGCUCUGCACUUGCCCA